Molecule: ribosomal RNA, 510 nt
Filed under: uncultured Glomus
Lineage: Eukaryota; Fungi; Glomeromycota; Glomeromycetes; Glomerales; Glomeraceae
Description: SSU rRNA
Rfam family: Eukaryotic small subunit ribosomal RNA
Source: RNAcentral
AGCAGCCGCGGUAAUUCCAGCUCCAAUAGCGUAUAUUAAAGUUGUUGCAGUUAAAAAGCUCGUAGUUGAAUUUCGGGAUCAAUUAAUUGGUCGUGCCUCUGGUACGUACUGGCAUUGUUGGUUUCUCCCUUCUGACGAACCAUGAUGUCAUUUAUUUGGUGUCGUGGGAAAUCAGGACUGUUACUUUGAAGAAAUUAGAGUGUUUAAAGCAGGCUCACGCUUGAAUACAUUAGCAUGGAAUAAUGAAAUAGGACGUUUGAUUCUAUUUUGUUGGUUUCUAGGAUCGACGUAAUGAUUAAUAGGGAUAGUUGGGGGCAUUAGUAUUCAAUUGUCAGAGGUGAAAUUCUUGGAUUUAUUGAAGACUAACUACUGCGAAAGCAUUUGCCAAGGAUGUUUUCAUUAAUCAAGAACGAAAGUUAGGGAUCGAAGACGAUCAGAUACCGUCGUAGUCUUAACCAUAAACUAUGCCGACUAGGGAUCGGAUGAUGUUAAUUUUANAAUGACUNAUUC